GGAGGCUUUGGUUUUACUCCUGAUUGGUCUUCCAUUGAUUAUAGUGGCUGUGCGGAAGAGAAAGAAGACUAAAGGUCUGCUGUCGUCCUCCAUCAUAGAGUUUAAUCCAGUGUUAUAUGAACAGAUCAAAGACGCUGGACGUGACUGUAAUCCAGAGGACACAGACACAGAAACAACUGUAGUUUAUAGCUGUGCUUCCUAAACUUGUGCCAUAUGUGUUCCUACAGACCCAAGUACUCCA
This is a long non-coding RNA of Sinocyclocheilus rhinocerous, 241 nucleotides long. RefSeq lists it as uncharacterized. Lineage: Eukaryota; Metazoa; Chordata; Actinopteri; Cypriniformes; Cyprinidae. The record is from RefSeq and is a predicted model, not a curated record. The transcript has 3 exons.